CUGAGCCCGCCAUGGGGCGGGGCCACGAGCGGAGGGCGGGGAAGACGGGAGGAAAGGCAGAGUGACCCACACUCCCACCAAUCAGGAGUCGCCCCGGGGAAGGAGGUGGGGCGAUGCGCUAGGAAGAAGCGGACGGAUUCCAUGACGCAGUGGAGGGAGUUGGGACCACGGGUUCCCGACAGGUGCGAAGGGCAGAGGGAGGUGAGAGCUGCGUGGGGCCCGGGAAGGGGCUUCCAGCUGCCCAGCGCGCUGCCUUGCGCCGUGGGUGCUCCAUCAAUAUUUGUGGAGCGGCGUUUCCCGCCUGGGAAGGAGGGAGAAGGGAAGGCGGCGCGGGAGGGGCUGGUUCAAGGAGAAGCUCCCUGAGGACACUUGUGGUCGAACAGGCAAAGAGGACGCGACCUCUUGAGGAAGUCAAAUCGAGGCCAAGGGAUCAAGAACGGAGAAGAGGGGGUGGUGAAGGGAGGGUUGCAGGCACAGGGCGAUGGACGGAUUCGGCGUGGGACCCCGCCCUGGACUCUGACCUGACAUCCCGAGGCAGCGAUGCAGAUUCGUGCCGGGUCCCAGGGGAAAACCCAGGAGUGCGGUUGUUUUGUUCUUUGCAGUUCAUGUGCAGGGGGUGGGAGGACAGAGAGAAAGCGUCGUAGUUAAAAUCAAAAUGCAGGAGCUCCUUGAAAAACAAUGAAGUCCACCUCGCUCCUCGAGCUCCUUCGAUCCUGGCUUGAACGCAGGCAACUGAUCACCUGGGGUCAGUUUGCAGCCUGCAGACGUGUAGGGUGAUUAACAUUCACUGAGCGCCUACUGCGUGCGUCCGACCCAGUUGUGGGCGUGCAGCGGCGAUGGUACACCAGGUUCCUGCUCUUGUGGAGCUUAUAUUUCUGUGGGGAGAGACAGAGCAUAAACAAAGAAAAUAUACAAAUGUAAACCAACGAGGAAAUGCUGGUGAGCACCGAGGCAAUUGCUAAGCAGAGCUUUCAAAGGCGAUGAUGUGUGCGAUAGGGAGCUGCGAAGCACCCUGAGGGCCUCUCUGGGGAGGUGGCUUUUAAGCAGAUUCCUGAACCCGAAAAGGAGCCGGUUCUCCCCAGAGCGUUCCAGGCCGAAGGGAACAGCAAACGCAAGGUGUUUGACCUCCCUGAAGACCGUGUAACCUGCCUCGCCGAGCUGAACAAUGAAUGAGCGUGACUCGCUCGCCUGGCUCGCUGCCCGGCACCUUAGGGGCUCCAGAAUGUUAAAUUCCAGCGCCAUCUGCCACCUGCGGCAGCCGGCAUAUUUCCAGUUUCCCAACUGACCCCGAAUUAAGGUGUCUGAGGCUCUUGCCGGAGCCAUGCCGUUCGCAUUUCAUUCACCUCGCUAGGUUCUCCGCUUCUGGAGCCCUCCCUGUCGCGGGAGGUCGGGGACUGUUUUGAAUCUGGCAAGUAGCUAGCGAGGGAGGGCGGAUACUGACCAGCUGCAGAGCGAACCCAGCGUCGGGCUGCCCGCAUCUGCACACGGAAAAUCUUACUGGAGAAGAUUUAAAAUCGAAUGACUAGGAGGAUCUUAAAGAAUCCCCUCCCCAGCCCCCACCCCCGCCGCCACUCCGCACCAGGAGGCACCUUGGCCACCCCGGCAUGGAUGGCCUGAGCAGCUCAGAUGUUGUUUUCCCAACCCUUCUUGCAUUUUUCAGUAAUUCCUCUCCCGGACUUGUAUCACGUGGCUUUCACCACAUCAGGGGCCCUGUUCACCGAUUAUUUACUCAAGAUUCCCUAUCGAUCCACAGCAACAUGGAAUAACACACUCAGAUAAAAUUAGCACUUCAGGGAAGAAACUGUAAUGGUCUUGCUCUGGCUCUGGUAGACUGUUAAUAUAAUAAACUGAAUUCCUGGAACCAAAAAUAAACUUUUCUGUGAAGAAUGUGUACUUGGAAUAAGGCGUACCAAUACCUAGAGUGCAUGUUUUUCCUCGGAGAGGGUGAGACUUGCUGGCACUGUGCAAUGGAGGACAAGAGAAACUCUGUUUGCCCUACAUCAUUAUUUCUUGCAAAUACUACUUUAUAACAAAGGCAAGAGAAGUAAAUGUCUACCCACUAUUCUGUAUACCUGAAAUAAAUAUAAUAUUGAAUGUCAACUGUAAUUGAAAAAAAAUUUUAAGGUAAUAGAAGUUAAAGAAAGGGAAUAAUUGCCUAUAAUCCUACCUACAGACAACAGCCCUAGCUUACAUUAUUAUUAUUAUUAUUUAGUGUUUCCUUCUAGUGUUUUUUUCAGGCAGUUGUGAUUUUUGAGUAAAUGCAAACUUAAAUUGUAUGUUUUCCUAAUUGCUGCUUCAUAAUUGUCAACAGAUUAUUGUGAAUCCAUUAAAAUAAUUAUUGUGAAGA
Myotis brandtii (Brandt's bat) is the source of this 2347-nucleotide long non-coding RNA. RefSeq lists it as uncharacterized. The transcript is spliced from 2 exons. The record is from RefSeq and is a predicted model, not a curated record. NCBI's taxonomy places the organism in Eukaryota, Metazoa, Chordata, Mammalia, Chiroptera, Vespertilionidae.